CUCUAGUCCAAUAGGACUGGUAUCCAUGCAAGAAGAGGAAAAAAAACCCAGCACUGUCUCUCUGUGCACACACAGAGAAGAAGCCAUGUGAGGACACAGCAAGAAGGUGUCUGUCUGCAGGGAAGGAAGAGAAGGCUUGCCAGAAACCGCAGCUGCUAGUAUCUGGAUUAUGGAUUUCUGGCCCUCAGAACAUUACAGGAUAUCAAUGGAGGACUGAGAGGACUCAGCUAGAUGAAUGAACUUUCACCUAAAAGGAUUUUGUGGCCCAUUUUUUGAAGAGCGUUAAGAGCUUUAAGACGUAUCCUUACAUAGGAAUAAUCAGUGAGAAAGGAGAAAAUAUGUAUAAAGUAUCAACUUGCUUCUGACAUCAUGAAAAAAGCCUGGGAAAUUCACCUAACUAAACCUAAUGAAGAAAACCUAUGUUGUUGGUAACCAAAUACUGAGUUGGAGAUCAGAGCUCAGAUUCCUGCUCUAAGUUAUCAGCAAAAGCAUUCUAGGAUAUAUAAGCAGACAAGGAGGGUCUCUAGGAACCAUAGGAGUUUAAUCCACGUGAGCCAUCAGCCUGAUUUACAGCUUCCUGCCCUGCAGCCUGUUCUUCCCUAAACCCUGGGUGGACUAUAGUAACCUAGUUGGUUGAAACCAGCUCCUGACAGACCCUGGCAACUUAGAGAUGAACCCUGGUGAAUCUUCCUCAUGACUGUAACGUCUCCAUCCUGGAGGAACUGUAGUUCCGUUAUCAUAACAUGUAACCCAUGUGUUGCCAUGAUGACACUGUGUCUGCACCGCUGGGACCCCUCAUCUACAUGCGAUAAUGCACCCUCUCCCCUCUCCAUCACCCCAUAAAACCCUCCUGCCACUUUCCCUCAGGGAGACACUGCUUUGGAGAAUACACCCAGUGCUCCCCUUACUUGAGCCAAGUAAUAAAACUCCUAUUGAUCAAAAUCUGCAUUCUCGUGGAGAGUCGUUUGUUGCUUGACAGGUGAAUGAACGCUGUUUGUUUUUUUCGGAUAACAAAUAUGAGGUAUUAAACAAACAAACAAAAAACCCCAGACUUGAAGCUUUCCCAUAAUAACAACAAAGAGUUUGAGUAAGAAUUCCACAGCUUGCCUUCAUCUGUGGCAGACUUGCAUGAAUCAUUUUCAAAUAAAGAUAAUAACUCAGUUGGUCUUGUAGUCCAAACAAAAUGUGCUACUUCAGGAACAUUCACUUCCUAUGUGGACUUUGCUGCUGAGUCAGUGUGAGACCUUGAACAAGUCUCUGUUUGUUUCGUACCAUUCAGAUUUCCUCGUCUGUAAACAUUAAGUAUCUACAUUCACUAAAAGUAGUUCUGAAUGAAUGUUAUUUAAUGGUGCCAAUGAUGUUGGAGGAUACCUGUGGUAAGUGGUUUAAUUUAUUUUUGCAAGUUGGUAUAAUAUCCAUACUAUAUUGACCUUAAAAUAGAUGGACAAUGUGGAUAUGUGGAUGUUUUUGUUAUUGAGAAGGGGGUUGACUGAGAGUAAAGGACAGUUUGAUUUGUUUUUCUACAUUAGUCCUAUUCAUCUGGCAAAUGUGAAAUCUCCAUUUCGUCAUUCAUGUUCCUAAGGUGGGUACUAGAUAUAGUUACAUUUUCUUGCCAAAGUAAAACUUGCAUCAUAUACUUAGGAACGUGUGGAGCACUUCUCAGAGCUGUGCUUAAUCUCAGGUGCCCAGAAAUGUUGAAACUUGUUUACAGAACUUUGGACUCAUCUCUGAUUUAUUAACUCAAGUUAUUCCCUGGACCUAUAAUUAACAUCUCACCAGCCUGAUAUUUUCCUCAACCACUUAACACAAAAGAAUGAUUAUGGAGCUUCACAUGCAACAUUAUCCCUUAAAAUUGACUCUAAACAAGGAUUUAAAAUAAGGUUGUUUCCAUGUGCACAGGUGAUCAAAUCAUUGUGUGAUAAAACGAUAGAUUUUUUUAUGAUGUGUUUUCAUAUCUCUGUGACCUUUUUUGUUAGAGAGGUGAUACCAUUGAGUCCCGGGAGACUUAGGCUAACUCUUAAUAUACAAAAGGAUAAAUACUUUCUUCUUCAAAUAAUUCCAAGCUCGUUUUACUCCUUUAAAAUAAUUUUUAGAUAUACUUGUCAAAUUCUGUGAAAUAUUCAUGUAUGAAUUUUGAUUGAAACUUCAUUAAUGAUGUAUUUAUC
RNAcentral lists this long non-coding RNA (2165 nucleotides) under Homo sapiens (human). RNAcentral's name for it is "HSALNT0158063". Lineage: Eukaryota; Metazoa; Chordata; Mammalia; Primates; Hominidae. The record is from RNAcentral.